GACAGAGGAUGCAAGCGUUAUCCGGAAUGAUUGGGCGUAAAGCGUCUGUAGGUGGCUUUUUAAGUUCGCCGUCAAAUCCCAGGGCUCAACCCUGGACAGGUGGUGGAAACUACCAAGCUAGAGUACGGUAGGGGCAGAGGGAAUUUCCGGUGGAGCGAUGAAAUGCGUUGAGAUCGGAAGGAACACCCAAGGCGAAAGCACUCUGCUGGGCCGACACUGACACUGAGAGACGAAAGCUAGGGGAGCAAAUGGG
This 253-nucleotide ribosomal RNA is filed under the name uncultured bacterium. RNAcentral describes it as "partial 16S ribosomal RNA". It matches the Rfam family "Bacterial small subunit ribosomal RNA", at positions 524 to 776 of the family's 1533-position model. The record is from RNAcentral.